UAGGGAAUCUUCCACAGUGGGCGGAAAGCCUGAUGGAGCAACGCCGCGUGUGUGAUGAAGGGUUUCGGCUCGUAAAACACUGUUGUAAGAGAAGAAUGACAUUGAGAGUAACUGUUCAAUGUGUGACGGUAUCUUACCAGAAAGGAACGGCUAAAUACGUGCCAG
Molecule: ribosomal RNA, 165 nt
Filed under: uncultured bacterium
Lineage: Bacteria
Description: partial 16S ribosomal RNA
Rfam family: Bacterial small subunit ribosomal RNA
Source: RNAcentral